This 713-nucleotide ribosomal RNA is filed under the name Marinobacter sp. RNAcentral describes it as "bacterial SSU rRNA". It matches the Rfam family "Bacterial small subunit ribosomal RNA", at positions 59 to 762 of the family's 1533-position model. The record is from RNAcentral. Lineage: Bacteria; Pseudomonadati; Pseudomonadota; Gammaproteobacteria; Pseudomonadales; Marinobacteraceae.
CAGUCGAGCGGUAACAGGGGGUGCUUGCACCCCGCUGACGAGCGGCGGACGGGUGAGUAAUGCAUAGGAAACUGCCCAGUAGUGGGGGAUAGCCCGGGGAAACCCGGAUUAAUACCGCGUACGCCCUUCGGGGGAAAGCAGGGGAUCUUCGGACCUUGCGCUAUUGGAUGUGCCUAUGUCGGAUUAGCUAGUUGGUGGGGUAAAGGCCUACCAAGGCGACGAUCCGUAGCUGGUCUGAGAGGAUGAUCAGCCACAUCGGGACUGAGACACGGCCCGAACUCCUACGGGAGGCAGCAGUGGGGAAUAUUGGACAAUGGGGGCAACCCUGAUCCAGCCAUGCCGCGUGUGUGAAGAAGGCUUUCGGGUUGUAAAGCACUUUCAGUGAGGAGGAAAAGUUGGUCGUUAAUACCGGCCAGCCUUGACGUUACUCACAGAAGAAGCACCGGCUAACUCCGUGCCAGCAGCCGCGGUAAUACGGAGGGUGCAAGCGUUAAUCGGAAUUACUGGGCGUAAAGCGCGCGUAGGUGGUUUGAUAAGCGAGAUGUGAAAGCCCCGGGCUUAACCUGGGAACGGCAUUUCGAACUGUCAGGCUAGAGUAUGGUAGAGGAGUGUGGAAUUUCCUGUGUAGCGGUGAAAUGCGUAGAUAUAGGAAGGAACACCAGUGGCGAAGGCGGCACUCUGGUAGCCAAUACUGACACUGAGUGCGAAAGCGU